Small nucleolar RNA from Raphanus sativus (radish), 113 nucleotides. RefSeq annotates it as small nucleolar RNA Z278. NCBI's taxonomy places the organism in Eukaryota, Viridiplantae, Streptophyta, Magnoliopsida, Brassicales, Brassicaceae. The transcript has a single exon. The record is from RefSeq and is a predicted model, not a curated record.
GCCGAUGAGGAUAUUCCAAUUAUGCGAGGUGCAGUGGAGCCGAGACCCUGUUAUCAGGGAGAACCCCUUGGCAGAAACUGCAAUUUCUAUGAAGCUUAUGGACUAACUGAGGC